GGAAAAGAAACCAACAGGGAUUGCCUCAGUAACGGCGAGUGAAGCGGCAACAGCUCAAAUUUGAAAUCUGGCCUCUUUGGGGUCCGAGUUGUAAUUUGUAGAGGAUGUUUCGGGUACCGCCUCGGUCUAAAUUUCUUGGAACAGAAUGUCAGAGAGGGUGAGAAUCCCGUCUUGGACCGGCGGUAGGGCCCAUGUGAAACUCCUUCGACGAGUCGAGUUGUUUGGGAAUGCAGCUCAAAAUGGGUGGUAUAUUUCAUCUAAAGCUAAAUAUUGGCCAGAGACCGAUAGCGCACAAGUAGAGUGAUCGAAAGAUGAAAAGAACUUUGAAAAGAGAGUUAAACAGUAUGUGAAAUUGUUGAAAGGGAAGCGCUUGCAACCAGACUUGAGCGCGGCGGUUCCCCCUUCCUUUUGGUUGGGUUACUCCGUCGUGUCCAGGCCAACAUCGGUUCUGGGGGUCGGUUAAAGGCUUGGGGAAUGUACCUACGUCUUCGGGCGUAGACUUAUAGCCCCGAGUGUCAUGCGACCUCCCGGGACCGAGGAACGCGCUUCGGCUCGGAUGUUGGCGUAAUGGUUGUAAGCGGCCCGUCU
RNAcentral lists this ribosomal RNA (588 nucleotides) under Exophiala sp. 15LV1. RNAcentral describes it as "eukaryotic LSU rRNA". It matches the Rfam family "Eukaryotic large subunit ribosomal RNA", at positions 55 to 654 of the family's 3401-position model. Lineage: Eukaryota; Fungi; Ascomycota; Eurotiomycetes; Chaetothyriales; Herpotrichiellaceae. The record is from RNAcentral.